Molecule: ribosomal RNA, 490 nt
Filed under: uncultured bacterium
Lineage: Bacteria
Description: partial 16S ribosomal RNA
Rfam family: Bacterial small subunit ribosomal RNA
Source: RNAcentral
AUUAAACGCUGGCGGCAUGCCUUACACAUGCAAGUCGAACGGGGGUAGCAAUACCCUAGUGGCGAACGGGUGAGUAAAGCAUCGGAACGUACCCAGUUGUGGGGGAUAACGUAGCGAAAGUUACGCUAUUACCGCAUACGCACUGAGGUGGAAAGCGGGGGAUCGCAAGACCUCGCGCAAUUGGAGCGGCCGAUGUCGGAUUAGCUAGUUGGUAGGGUAAAAGCCUACCAAGGCGACGAUCCGUAGCUGGUCUGAGAGGACGACCAGCCACACUGGGACUGAGACACGGCCCAGACUCCUACGGGAGGCAGCAGUGGGGAAUUUUGGACAAUGGGCGAAAGCCUGAUCCAGCCAUGCCGCGUGAGUGAAGAAGGCCUUCGGGUUGUAAAGCUCUUUCGGACAGAAAGAAAUCGCACGGGUAAAUAAUCCGUGUGGAUGACGGUACUGUAAGAAGAAGCACCGGCUAACUACGUGCCAGCCGCCGCAGUAA